Molecule: non-coding RNA, 80 nt
Organism: Caenorhabditis elegans
Lineage: Eukaryota; Metazoa; Nematoda; Chromadorea; Rhabditida; Rhabditidae
Source: Ensembl
CAAAAAAGUAAAAAUAGAUUGCCCCAAACCAGGAUCGAACUGGUGACCUUACGAUCUUCAGUCGUACGCUCUCCCAACUG